AAAACUUACUGGUAAUGGGGGAACGUUUCGAAAGGAACGCUAAUACCGCAUACGUCCUACGGGAGAAAGUAGGGGGAUCUUCGGACCUCACGCUAUCAGAUGAGCCUAGGUCGGAUUAGCUAGUUGGUGAGGUAAAGGCUCACCAAGGCGACGAUCCGUAACUGGUCUGAGAGGAUGAUCAGUCACACUGGAACUGAGACACGGUCCAGACUCCUACGGGAGGCAGCAGUGGGGAAUAUUGGACAAUGGGCGAAAGCCUGAUCCAGCCAUGCCGCGUGUGUGAAGAAGGUCUUCGGAUUGUAAAGCACUUUAAGUUGGGAGGAAGGGCAGUAAGUUAAUACCUUGCUGUUUUGACGUUACCAACAGAAUAAGCACCGGCUAACUUCGUGCCAGCAGCCGCGGUAAUACGAAGGGUGCAAGCGUUAAUCGGAAUUACUGGGCGUAAAGCGCGCGUAGGUGGUUCGUUAAGUUGGAUGUGAAAGCCCCGGGCUCAACCUGGGAACUGCAUCCAAAACUGGCGAGCUAGAGUAUGGCAGAGGGUGGUGGAAUUUCCUGUGUAGCGGUGAAAUGCGUAGAUAUAGGAAGGAACACCAGUGAG
This 598-nucleotide ribosomal RNA is filed under the name Stutzerimonas stutzeri. RNAcentral describes it as "bacterial SSU rRNA". It matches the Rfam family "Bacterial small subunit ribosomal RNA", at positions 122 to 716 of the family's 1533-position model. Lineage: Bacteria; Pseudomonadati; Pseudomonadota; Gammaproteobacteria; Pseudomonadales; Pseudomonadaceae. The record is from RNAcentral.